Molecule: long non-coding RNA, 715 nt
Organism: Oncorhynchus keta (chum salmon)
Lineage: Eukaryota; Metazoa; Chordata; Actinopteri; Salmoniformes; Salmonidae
Exons: 4
Source: RefSeq, a predicted model, not a curated record
GGGGAAGAAAAGCGUAAAAGGGAGGGGGCUCUUCUAUGGGCCAGGCUUCAUUCCGGGGACCAUGUUCUUGACCUGACCCUCAAACGUGUCAGCAUUACCUCUCAGGAAUGGGGUAACGACGACAGAGCAGCAGAGACAGUCUACAGCAGGUCCCCUCCAUGGAGAACUCUCUCUACAUUUGGCAACACACCAUCCUCCUGACCUCUUUCACCUCUCUCUCGUUCCCUCUAUUCUCACUCGCUCGCUCUCUCUCUAUUCCUUUUUCUGUCUAUCUUCUUAAGUCUCUCUCCCUGACCCUUCUCAUCUCUAUACAGUACUUCUCUUCAUGCUCCCUGUCCUUCUUUCUGAUCUCUUGUUCUCUCUGUCACCUUUCUUUUCCCUCUCCAUCCUUCUUCUCUCUCUUUCCCUCUCCAUCCUUCUUUUCUCUCUCCAUAAACCCUUUCCCUCUCUAUCCCUCUCUUCUCUCUCCCUGAACCCUUUCCCUCUCUUCUCUCUCCCUGAACCCUUUCCCUCUCUUCUCUCUCCCUGAACCCUUUCCCUCUCUAUCUCUCUCUUCUCUCUCCCUGAACCCGUUUCUUUUCUAUCCCUCUCUUCUCUCUCCCUGAACCCUUUCCCUCUCUAUCCCUCUCUAUCCCUCUCUUCUCUCUCCCUGAACCCUUUCCCUCUCUAUCCCUCUCUUCUCUCUCCCUGAACCCUUUCCCUCUCUAUCCCUCUC